This 76-nucleotide transfer RNA is filed under the name compost metagenome. RNAcentral's name for it is "tRNA-Lys". It matches the Rfam family "tRNA". From Rfam's summary of the family: Transfer RNA (tRNA) molecules are approximately 80 nucleotides in length. The record is from RNAcentral.
GGAGCUGUGGCCUAGUGACCGGGCACCGGACUUUUAAUCCGGCUCAGGGCGAGUUUGAAUCUCCCCGGCUCUACCA